GACGAACGCGGCGGCGUGCCUAAUACAUGCAAGUCGAGCGGAGUUGAAAAAAAGUUUACUUUUUUUCUUCUCAGCGGCGGACGGGUGAGUAACACGUGGGCAACCUGCCCUGUAGACUGGGAUAACUUCGGGAAACCGAAGCUAAUACCGGAUAAUCAUAGAAGUUGCAUAGCUUCUAUGUAAAAGUUGGGUUUACCUAACACUACAGGAUGGGCCCGCGUCGCAUUAGCUAGUUGGUAAGGUAACGGCUUACCAAGGCGACGAUGCGUAGCCGACCUGAGAGGGUGAUCGGCCACACUGGGACUGAGACACGGCCCAGACUCCUACGGGAGGCAGCAGUAGGGAAUCUUCCGCAAUGGACGAAAGUCUGACGGAGCAACGCCGCGUGAGCGAUGAAGGCCUUCGGGUCGUAAAGCUCUGUUGUUAGGGAAGAACAAGUGCUAUUUCGAAUAGGGU
RNAcentral lists this ribosomal RNA (456 nucleotides) under Bacillus sp. oral taxon C44. Its description in RNAcentral is "bacterial SSU rRNA". It matches the Rfam family "Bacterial small subunit ribosomal RNA", at positions 28 to 470 of the family's 1533-position model. Lineage: Bacteria; Bacillati; Bacillota; Bacilli; Caryophanales; Bacillaceae. The record is from RNAcentral.